RNAcentral lists this ribosomal RNA (380 nucleotides) under uncultured eukaryote. RNAcentral describes it as "partial 18S ribosomal RNA". It matches the Rfam family "Eukaryotic small subunit ribosomal RNA", at positions 592 to 976 of the family's 1831-position model. The record is from RNAcentral.
CAAUAGCGUAUAUUAAAGUUGUUGCGGUUAAAAAGCUCGUAGUUGGAUUUCUGCUGAGAACGACCGGUCCGCCCUCUGGGUGUGUAUCUGGCUCUUUCUUGGCAUCUUCUUGGUGAACGUUGCUGCACUUGACUGUGUGGAGCGCUACCCAGGACUUUUACUUUGAGGAAAUUAGAGUGUUUCAAGCAGGCAUACGCCUUGAAUACAUUAGCAUGGAAUAAUAAGAUAGGACCUCGGUUCUAUUUUGUUGGUUUCUAGAGCUGAGGUAAUGAUUAAUGGGGAUAGUUGGGGGCAUUCGUAUUUAACUGUCAGAGGUGAAAUUCUUGGAUUUGUUAAAGAUGGACUACUGCGAAAGCAUUUGCCAAGGAUGUUUUCAUUGA